UACGUAGGGGGCAAGCGUUGUCCGGAUUUAUUGGGCGUAAAGAGCAUGUAGGCGGCCAGACAGGUCCGUUGUGAAAACUCGAGGCUCAACCUCGAGACGCCGAUGGAAACCGUCUGGCUAGAGUCCGGAAGAGGAGAGUGGAAUUCCUGGUGUAGCGGUGAAAUGCGCAGAUAUCAGGAAGAACACCCGUGGCUAAGGCGGCUCUCUAGUACGGUACUGACGCUGAGACGCGAAAGCGUGGGGAGCGAACAGG
Molecule: ribosomal RNA, 253 nt
Filed under: uncultured bacterium
Lineage: Bacteria
Description: partial 16S ribosomal RNA
Rfam family: Bacterial small subunit ribosomal RNA
Source: RNAcentral